UUGGAUGUUGGCCUAGUUCUGUGUGGAAGACUAGUGAUUUUGUUGUUUUUAGAUAAGUAAAUUGACAACAAAUCACAGUCUGCCAUAUGGCACAGGCCAUGCCUCUACAG
Microcebus murinus (gray mouse lemur) is the source of this 110-nucleotide microRNA precursor. NCBI's taxonomy places the organism in Eukaryota, Metazoa, Chordata, Mammalia, Primates, Cheirogaleidae. The record is from Ensembl.